GUGGUUGUAGCUCAGGGGCAGAGUGCUUGCCUAGCAUGAAUGAGGCACUGGGAUCAAUUCCCAGCACCACA
Molecule: transfer RNA, 71 nt
Filed under: Marmota marmota marmota (Alpine marmot)
Lineage: Eukaryota; Metazoa; Chordata; Mammalia; Rodentia; Sciuridae
Also listed under: 1 other name
Rfam family: tRNA
About the family: Transfer RNA (tRNA) molecules are approximately 80 nucleotides in length. Their secondary structure includes four short double-helical elements and three loops (D, anti-codon, and T loops).
Source: Rfam by way of RNAcentral